This 391-nucleotide unclassified non-coding RNA is filed under the name soil metagenome. RNAcentral describes it as "partial contains 5.8S ribosomal RNA, internal transcribed spacer 2, and large subunit ribosomal RNA". The stretch from base 1 to 122 matches the Rfam family "5.8S ribosomal RNA", at positions 35 to 154 of the family's 154-position model. The record is from RNAcentral.
GAUGAAGAACGUAGCGAAAUGCGAUACUUGGUGUGAAUUGCAGAAUCCCGUGAACCAUCGAGUCUUUGAACGCAAGUUGCGCCCGAAGCCAUUAGGCCGAGGGCACGCCUGCCUGGGCGUCACACGUCGUUGCCCCCCCAUCUACUCCUUCGGGAUUGCGGGGAGCGGAUGAUGGCCUCCCGUGCGCCUUGUCGCGCGGUUGGCAUAAAUGCCAAGUCCUCGGCGACGCACGCCACGACAAUCGGUGGUUGCGAAACCUCGGUUGCCCGUCGUGUGCGGUCGUCGCGCAUCGAGGGCUCGAAAAAAUUGCCGGGUUCCGGCUCGGCUUUCAACGCGACCCCAGGUCAGGCGGGGUUACCCGCUGAAUUUAAGCAUAUCAAUAAGCGGAGGA